CAUUAAGAAGCUAUGCACCAGCACUAGCCUUUUAAGCUAGAGAAAGAGGAAGCCCGCCCCUCCUUAAUGA
This 70-nucleotide transfer RNA is filed under the name Caracara plancus (crested caracara). RNAcentral describes it as "tRNA-Lys". RNAcentral also lists the same sequence under 1 other name. Lineage: Eukaryota; Metazoa; Chordata; Aves; Falconiformes; Falconidae. The record is from RNAcentral.